Long non-coding RNA from Ictalurus punctatus (channel catfish), 757 nucleotides. The record is from Ensembl. Lineage: Eukaryota; Metazoa; Chordata; Actinopteri; Siluriformes; Ictaluridae.
AGUGCACUACUCCAUGCACACUCCCUCCCUCGUUACCGCCUCGCCUCGCCUCGCCUCGCCUGCUGCCUCCCAGCCGCCAGCAAGUUCGCCUCACGCUUCCUCCUUCGCUUUCGUCCUUUCUUUCUCCUCAACAACAACAAAAAAAUCCCACAUCGCUCCUGCUGAAAGCUGCCGAGCUGAGCGACAGCUGGGAGGAGAAGUAAACUUGGUGGCUGAAGAAAAAGCUCCGCAGACAACACCAGUGAGUGGGACGCGGCUGGUUAUAGAAAUGAUUGUGGGCUUAUUUACGUGUUUGAGUUUGCUUUAAACCGAGGGGCCGAGCUACAACAUUCAGCACUUUCCCCUCCUCCUCCUCCUCCUCACUACCCCUCCGUGAGCAAAAACAAGAGGUCUGCACAGCUGUUGGUCUUCUCAGUAGUCAGGUUGUGAAUGUGGAGCAGUGAGGCAGAAAGCUACUGUAGGCCAUUUCCUGUGCUUCCAGUUGCCAUUAUGCCAUUAUUGUAAUGGUCCAGGCGACAGCUUAACGCACCCACAGGAAAUGCAUGUCCUGAUUGACCACUCUGACCUUUUGCUCCUGCACAUUCAGGCUGCAGUUAAGAUAGCAGUCUGACAUUUCUGUUUUCUCCCUCCAUGUCCGUUCUUCUUACUCUAGUACUUCCUGGUGAGACGGCGUAUUCGGUCCAUGUGUCAUACGUGUUGUGUGUGUAAAGUGUUGCGCAGUGAAAUGUUAUGAGGUAUGGCAGGGGUAUGGAGGGUG